UACCAGCACCCCGAGUGGUCGGGGCGAUUAUUGGGCCUAAAGCAUCCGUAGCCGGUCAUGCAAGUCCUCCGUUAAAUCCAACUGCUUAACAGGUGGGCUGCGGAAGAUACUAUAGAGCUAGGAGGCGGGAGAGGCAAGCGGUACUCGAUGGGUAGGGGUAAAAUCCGUUGAUCCAUUGAAGACCACCAGUGGCGAAGGCGGCUUGCCAGAACGCGCUCGACGGUGAGGGAUGAAAGCUGGGGGAGCAAACCGG
RNAcentral lists this ribosomal RNA (253 nucleotides) under uncultured bacterium. RNAcentral's name for it is "partial 16S ribosomal RNA". It matches the Rfam family "Archaeal small subunit ribosomal RNA", at positions 474 to 727 of the family's 1478-position model. The record is from RNAcentral.